UUUCAUUGACUACAUUUUUCCCCUUCUUUUCUCGCGAACCAAACGAGCCCUAAGAGCAAAGAUUUCAUCUUAUCAUGCUUGCUUAUGUCUUUUAGAACUAUUUUGUCAUGGUUGUCUAACUCUCAACAUAAAAAUAAUCCAAAUGAAACUGACUUUGCAAGGUCCUUAGUGUCUAUUUUCUGAGAGCACCUUAGCACUCGGUUGAAUCAAGAUGGAUCGGAUUUGGUCAAAACUUAGGUUGAGAUGGAUCGGAUUAGGUCAAAAUGUGAUUGAUGAUUGAGUAUGAUAGGGUACAAUCAGGUUACGCAGAGCAAGCUACAUGCUUUAUGGGUAAUGUAGA
RNAcentral lists this long non-coding RNA (340 nucleotides) under Phoenix dactylifera (date palm). Its description in RNAcentral is "long non-coding RNA (PDAC_LNC003307)". Lineage: Eukaryota; Viridiplantae; Streptophyta; Magnoliopsida; Arecales; Arecaceae. The record is from RNAcentral.